RNAcentral lists this unclassified non-coding RNA (1421 nucleotides) under Hevea brasiliensis (rubber tree). Lineage: Eukaryota; Viridiplantae; Streptophyta; Magnoliopsida; Malpighiales; Euphorbiaceae. The record is from RNAcentral.
CUUGCCUGCAACUGCAACUGAUGAAAAACUAGUUGACCUGCGUUUCUAUUUGGAGAUUCUAAAGCUCAGCGCAAUUAGAUCAUUUGUUGCUCGUGGUGGCUGCAAUUUUCACUUGCGUUUUUCCUGGUCAGGGGCAUGAUAAAAUUCAUACCAAUAACGAUUAGUGGUAUUCAUCUCAUCUCAUCGAUGCAAAAUGUUUCGCUGGGUAAAAUUUCCCUCAACUCAUAUAAUCUCUUUCCUUCAAAAUGAUCCAUCUCUGAUAGUGAGAGUUAUCUCAAGCAAUGCAAAUGAGUCGCAUGUAGUGUUUUAUCUUGUUAACAAUUGUGGGUUAUCACCAAAAUCUGCUCUUUCAGCUUCUAAGUAUGUCUCUUUUAAAACCCCAAAAAAGCCAGACUCCGUUCUUGCCUUUUUCGAGGCACAUGGGUUCUCAAAGACCCAUAUCGCAACACUUAUCCGUAAACGCCCAACUUUGCUUUUGGCAGAUCCUGAGAAAACCCUUAUGCCCAAACUCCAAUUUUUGCACUCUAACGGGUUUUCAAGCUCUGACAUUGCCAAAGUUUUAUGUGUAUGCCCUGAGAUUCUGCAUACUAGCUUAGAAAAACAGAUAAUCCCUGCUUUUAACGUCAUAAAAACUUUUCUUCCAUCUCAUGAGAAAGUUGUUUGUGCUAUAAAACGAUUACCACGUAUUAUGCUUUCUCAUCUUGAAACCUAUGUCUUACCUAAUAUCAAAAUUUUGGAAGAAAGUGGAUUGCCAAAAUCAAGUAUAGCUUGGCUACUAAGAUAUCAACCAGCAACGUUUAUGACAAGCUCAAAUCGAUUUUCUGAGAUUGUAGAAGAAGUGAAGGGAAUGGGUUUGAAUCCUUUGUCAGUGAACUUUGUUGCUGCAAUCCAUGCAGUAAGGGCAAUGAGCACAUCAACAUGGAAAAGUAAAAUUGAUAUUUAUAAGAAGUGGGGUUGGUCUGAUGAAGAGAUUCUAGUGGCUUUUGGGAAGCAUCCAUGGUGUAUGAUGGGUUCUGAGAAAAAGAUUACGGCAGCCAUGGAUUUCUAUAUCAACAAAAUGGGUUGGUAUUCUUCAUAUAUUGCACAACAUCCAGUACUAAUAUCACUGGGCUUGGAUAAGAGGAUUGUGCCACGGUGUUCAGUUAUCCAGGUUCUGCUGUCAAAAGGUCUGAUGAAGCAGACUAGGUUUUCUUCACCAUUGAUAAUUUCUGAAGAAUCGUUCCUGCAUAAGUUCGUGACACCUUAUGAGGAGGAAGUUCCACAUCUGUUGAAGUUAUAUCGGGAGAAGUUGGAAAUUGCAAAAUGUAAGGAUAUGGAGAAAGGGAGCUAAGACAUUUGUUGGGGCAAUUAUGGAAAUGGCAUGCCAGCUUGCCAAUCCUUUAAUUGUUAUAAUUAUUCCUAUUUCUACAAUUUGGUCCAAU